CCUACGGGGGGCAGCAGUGGGGAAUAUUGCACAAUGGGGGAAACCCUGAUGCAGCGACGCCGCGUGAGCGAUGAAGGAUUUCGGGAUGUAAAGCUCUAGCAGCAGGGAAGAAAAUGACGGUACCUGACUAAGAAGCCCCGGCGAACGACGGGCCAGCAGCCGCGGUAAGACGUAGGGGGCAAGCGUUAGCCGGAUUGACGGGGGGUAAAGGGAGCGUAGACGGUCCUGCAAGCCAGAUGUGAAAGCCCGGGGCUCAACCCCGGGACUGCAUUUGGAACUGUAAGGCUAGAGUGUCGGAGGGGCAGGCGGAUUUCCUUGUGUAGCGGUGCAUUGCGUAGAUAUUAGGCG
This 348-nucleotide ribosomal RNA is filed under the name uncultured bacterium. Its description in RNAcentral is "partial 16S ribosomal RNA". It matches the Rfam family "Bacterial small subunit ribosomal RNA", at positions 338 to 703 of the family's 1533-position model. The record is from RNAcentral.